This is a long non-coding RNA of Oncorhynchus nerka (sockeye salmon), 394 nucleotides long. RefSeq lists it as uncharacterized. The transcript has 2 exons. The record is from RefSeq and is a predicted model, not a curated record. Lineage: Eukaryota; Metazoa; Chordata; Actinopteri; Salmoniformes; Salmonidae.
CUUCUGGAAUUGGGCCCCGAGGACCGGAGAAAAGCCAGGAUGACAGGGCGGAAACGGAACGAACCACAGACCAAGCCCAGACAGAACGAGCUUUAGAGCAUCGAAAUACACAUAUCCAAUCUACAGACUACAUCUGAGUUAAACGCAGGUUUGUUAUUACUAUUCAUUUAUAGCUAAAGUGCCACCAGCAUUGAUAAAGAUAAACAGAGCAGGCCUGGGCCGAAAAUAGUUGUAUUCUGUAGUUUAGUAGAAAGAAAAACGUUUCAAAUACUCGAGGUUGUCUAAUAUAGUUUAUUUAGAGUUUCACCUAAAAGUCAAAUAUACUGAACAAAAAUAUAAAUGUAGCAUGUAAAAAGUGUUUCAUGAGCUGAAAUAAAAGAUCCCAGAAAUGUUC